CCUACGGGCGGCAGCAGUGGGGGAUAUUGCACAAUGGGGGGAACCCUGAUGCAGCGACGCCGCGUGGGUGAAGAAGCGCCUCGGCCCGUAAAGCCCUGUCAGCAGGGAAGAAAAUGACGGUACCUGAAGAAGAAGCCACGGCUAACUAAGUGCCAGCAGCCGCGGUAAUACGUAGGGGGAAAGCGUUAUCCGGAUUUACUGGGUGUAAAGGGGGCGCAAACGGCGAUGCAAGCCAGGAGUGAAAGCCCGGGGCCCAACCCCGGGACUGCUCUUGGAACUGCGUGGCUAGAGUGCAGGAGGGGCAGGCGGAAUUCCUGGUGGAGCGGUGAAAUGCGUAGAUAUCAGGAGGAACACCGGUGGCGAAGGCGGCCUGCUGGACUGCAACUGACGUUGAGGCCCGAAAGCGUGGGGAGCAAACAGGAUUAGAUACCCGUGUAGUC
RNAcentral lists this ribosomal RNA (440 nucleotides) under uncultured bacterium. RNAcentral describes it as "partial 16S ribosomal RNA". It matches the Rfam family "Bacterial small subunit ribosomal RNA", at positions 338 to 795 of the family's 1533-position model. The record is from RNAcentral.